AUUGAACGCUGGCGGCAGGCCUAACACAUGCAAGUCGAGCGGAUGAAGGGGGCUUGCUCCUGGAUUCAGCGGCGGACGGGUGAGUAAUGCCUAGGAAUCUGCCCGGUAGUGGGGGAUAACGUCCGGAAAGGGGCGCUAAUACCGCAUACGACCUGAGGGAGAAAGUGGGGGAUCUUCGGACCUCACGCUAUCAGAUGAGCCUAGGUCGGAUUAGCUAGUUGGUGGGGUAAAGGCCUACCAAGGCGACGAUCCGUAACUGGUCUGAGAGGAUGAUCAGUCACACUGGAACUGAGACACGGUCCAGACUCCUACGGGAGGCAGCAGUGGGGAAUAUUGGACAAUGGGCGAAAGCCUGAUCCAGCCAUGCCGCGUGUGUGAAGAAGGUCUUCGGAUUGUAAAGCACUUUAAGUUGGGAGGAAGGGCAGUAAGUUAAUACCUUCCUGUUUUGACGUUACCAACAGAAUAAGCCACGGCUAACUUCGUG
RNAcentral lists this ribosomal RNA (484 nucleotides) under uncultured bacterium. RNAcentral's name for it is "partial 16S ribosomal RNA". It matches the Rfam family "Bacterial small subunit ribosomal RNA", at positions 30 to 507 of the family's 1533-position model. The record is from RNAcentral.